UACGGGGGGGGCAAGCGUUGUUCGGAAUUACUGGGCGUAAAGGGCUCGUAGGCGGCCAACUAAGUCGGACGUGAAAUCCCUCAGCUUAACUGGGGAACUGCGUCCGAUACUGGAUGGCUCGAGUUUGGGAGAGGGAUGCGGAAUUCCAGGUGUAGCGGUGAAAUGCGUAGAUAUCGGAAGGAACAUCAGUGGCGAAAGCGGCUUCCUGGUCCAACACCGACGUUCAGGCGCGAAAGCGUGGGGAGCAAACAGG
RNAcentral lists this ribosomal RNA (253 nucleotides) under uncultured bacterium. Its description in RNAcentral is "partial 16S ribosomal RNA". It matches the Rfam family "Bacterial small subunit ribosomal RNA", at positions 524 to 776 of the family's 1533-position model. The record is from RNAcentral.